Molecule: ribosomal RNA, 301 nt
Filed under: uncultured bacterium
Lineage: Bacteria
Description: bacterial SSU rRNA
Rfam family: Bacterial small subunit ribosomal RNA
Source: RNAcentral
AGAGUUUGAUCAUGGCUCAGGAUGAACGCUGGCGGCGUGCUUAACACAUGCAAGUCGAACGGAGAACCCCUGACGGAGGAUUCGUCCAACUGAUGGGAAUUCUUAGUGGCGGACGGGUGAGUAACGCGUGAGGAACCUGCCUUGGAGUGGGGAAUAACAGUCCGAAAGGACUGCUAAUACCGCAUAAUGCAGUUGGGCCGCAUGGCUCUGACUGCCAAAGAUUUAUCGCUCUGAGAUGGCCUCGCGUCUGAUUAGCUAGUUGGCGGGAUAACAGCCCACCAAGCCGACGAUCGGUAGCCGG